This 705-nucleotide ribosomal RNA is filed under the name Pseudomonas aeruginosa. RNAcentral's name for it is "bacterial SSU rRNA". It matches the Rfam family "Bacterial small subunit ribosomal RNA", at positions 56 to 756 of the family's 1533-position model. The record is from RNAcentral. Lineage: Bacteria; Pseudomonadati; Pseudomonadota; Gammaproteobacteria; Pseudomonadales; Pseudomonadaceae.
UGCAAGUCGAGCGGAUGAAGGGAGCUUGCUCCUGGAUUCAGCGGCGGACGGGUGAGUAAUGCCUAGGAAUCUGCCUGGUAGUGGGGGAUAACGUCCGGAAACGGGCGCUAAUACCGCAUACGUCCUGAGGGAGAAAGUGGGGGAUCUUCGGACCUCACGCUAUCAGAUGAGCCUAGGUCGGAUUAGCUAGUUGGUGGGGUAAAGGCCUACCAAGGCGACGAUCCGUAACUGGUCUGAGAGGAUGAUCAGUCACACUGGAACUGAGACACGGUCCAGACUCCUACGGGAGGCAGCAGUGGGGAAUAUUGGACAAUGGGCGAAAGCCUGAUCCAGCCAUGCCGCGUGUGUGAAGAAGGUCUUCGGAUUGUAAAGCACUUUAAGUUGGGAGGAAGGGCAGUAAGUUAAUACCUUGCUGUUUUGACGUUACCAACAGAAUAAGCACCGGCUAACUUCGUGCCAGCAGCCGCGGUAAUACGAAGGGUGCAAGCGUUAAUCGGAAUUACUGGGCGUAAAGCGCGCGUAGGUGGUUCAGCAAGUUGGAUGUGAAAUCCCCGGGCUCAACCUGGGAACUGCAUCCAAAACUACUGAGCUAGAGUACGGUAGAGGGUGGUGGAAUUUCCUGUGUAGCGGUGAAAUGCGUAGAUAUAGGAAGGAACACCAGUGGCGAAGGCGACCACCUGGACUGAUACUGACACUGAGGUGCGA